Talpa occidentalis (Iberian mole) is the source of this 68-nucleotide small nucleolar RNA. RefSeq annotates it as small nucleolar RNA SNORD63. The record is from RefSeq and is a predicted model, not a curated record. Lineage: Eukaryota; Metazoa; Chordata; Mammalia; Eulipotyphla; Talpidae. The transcript has a single exon.
GUGCUGUGAUGUACUGACAACACAUCAUUCUGAAAAGAAGUAUGCUUGAUUUCCUGUGACUGAGCACA